Molecule: ribosomal RNA, 468 nt
Filed under: uncultured bacterium
Lineage: Bacteria
Description: partial 16S ribosomal RNA
Rfam family: Bacterial small subunit ribosomal RNA
Source: RNAcentral
GACGAACGCUGGCGGCGUGCUUAACACAUGCAAGUCGAACGGAAAGGCCCUGCUUUUGUGGGGUGCUCGAGUGGCGAACGGGUGAGUAACACGUGGGUAACCUGCCCUUGACUUUGGGAUAACUUCAGGAAACUGGGGCUAAUACCGGAUAGGAGCUCCUGCUGCGUGGUGGGGGUUGGAAAGUUUCGGCGGUUGGGGAUGGUCUCGCGGCUUAUCAGCUUGUUGGUGGGGUAGUGGCUUACCAAGGCUUUGACGGGUAGCCGGCCUGAGAGGGUGACCGGCCACAUUGGGACUGAGAUACGGCCCAGACUCCUACGGGAGGCAGCAGUGGGGAAUAUUGCACAAUGGGCGGAAGCCUGAGGCAGCAACGCCGCGUGCGGGAUGACGGCCUUCGGGUUGUAAACCGCUGUCGCCGGUGACGAAGCGUGAGUGACGGUAAUGGGUAAAGAAGCACCGGCUAACUACGUG